UUUUUUAUUGUUGGAAGCGGGGAAAAAUCACUAUUCCGGUCAACAGUUUUAUAUCCAAGGAAUUGUCAUUCCAGUCAGGAAAACCUUUGGUAUCCGGACCACUUUUAGAUGAGAGCCAAGUAAGGUCCACUGUGGAGGAGAUAAAGCAGGUCAUCACAGCCAGCUCAGUUAGAAGACAAGAAAUUAACAGCGGAGAGGGUCAAAGCAGAGGACUUUGAAGCAGAAGAAGGGGAGCCGCUUGAGGAAGAAGAUGAGCUUUUUGAUCAAGCUGAUGAUUGCCUGGGCACAUUGAUGAUCAAAACCUUCGAAGCAUCUUUCUUACCUUUCUUUCUUUGAUGAGCUUUCAGCUUACGUAACCCCUAUGUGGGGUAAGGAUAAAACAUCAGAAGGGAGGAGAAUCGCCAUUUGUAUAUUUGACGAGCAUUGGAAGGAAGCUGCUCUUAAAUAUUAUGGUACCUUUGUCCCUUUCAUGCUAGAAGCUUGCAAUUAAUGAUGAAAACCCAGAUGUUCGUCAGGCAGCUGUUUAUGGAAUUGGUAUCUGUGCGGGGCUUGGUGGAUCUGGAUCUGUGUUUAAACCACUUGUUGGAGGCACUUUCCAGGUUCAAUGCUGUAAUAAGUCAUCCCAAUGCACUUCAUUCGUACAGUACAAUUGUUGAC
Long non-coding RNA from Populus euphratica (Euphrates poplar), 657 nucleotides. RefSeq lists it as uncharacterized. Lineage: Eukaryota; Viridiplantae; Streptophyta; Magnoliopsida; Malpighiales; Salicaceae. The record is from RefSeq and is a predicted model, not a curated record. The transcript has 7 exons.